CGCUCAAACUGCAGUAGCAACGCCAGGGCGGGGGCACUGCCAAGUUGCACACCACCUUGACAAAGCCACCGAGUCCUGGAACCUGCACUCCGACUUCACCACAGAAACUCUGCAAAAAUCCAAAACUUUUCCUUGCAAUUGCGCCUUUAUCAUCAUCUCAGGAGGGGUAAUGAUGGUGGAUGUGGGUGUCAUCAACAAGAUGAGUAUUUAUCGCCAUCCCCGACAGCCCUUGAGAGGCACGAGGAGAAGCCGAAUCUGACCUUGUUGGAGCCAUAAGACACUAAAGAUACUGGAAUCUUGAGCAAAAAACAAACCUGCCGGAGAACUCAGCAGAUGCUGCUGCACCCGCUGAGUUUCUCCAGCGUUUUUGUGUACCUUCGAUUUUCCAGCAUCUGCAGUUCCUUCUUAAACACUAUUAACGAUGCCACUGUGUUCUGUGCAUUGCAUGACUUGACUAAGAUGACUGAGGAAGAAUCGAUGGACGUUUUGGACAGGGCACCAAUAUGGACAAAGCGCUGUUUUAUUGGGUGGAUAAUGCCUCCAUGUGUUCAUUCUAACUUGCAUAAUAUGAUGUAUUGAAACAAAACUUCAAACGUACAGAUGAUAGUUGGCAGGCGUUGAUAAAUGCAUGGGUCAAAUGUGACCGCUUACUCUAUUAGCACUUGCUCUGUAAUUAUUUGGAAUCUUCAAAGCCCCUAAUCUUAAUUGGAUCUUUCCUCGUCCUCGCAAUAACUGGUUAAAUUACUGCUCCCUUUUUUCUGCACCAUUUAAGUGAUUUACCCUCAAGGUAAUAAUGCUGCCUCCAGUUAGCCACAGUUAAUCAGUGUAAAAACGAAUGUUCUUUGGGAGAACGCCUGUUAGCAAUCAGCAACAGGGGAGUUGGUGGGGAAAUCCUACAUUGGGGUGACAGAGCAAAACAUUUUGAGGUAAGAAAAAGAUAGAUGUGAUGAAUAAUAAGACAGUAGUGUUCGAGGAGGUGCAUAUAUCUGAGGGAAAACAAGAGAGAAGUGAAUAAAGAGAUGGCUGAAUGUAUUUAGUUAUUUUCUUACCUGGAGAGUUCUGCUGAAUUGAAAAUUGUAUUUUAACCAUUAUCUCCAGCAGAAUUGCUUUAGAUGCACAUUAAACGGGGAGCUGAGCAAUUACUGCCUAGAAACUAAAAUCACCAAUUUAGUCAGUCAAUGAAGUAGAUCAUAUUAACUACAGGCAGAUUGCCACUGUGGAAUAAUCUGAACCACUGUUGCUACUGUGCACCGUAUCAGAAUCCAACCAGUUACCAUUACAAUAAUGGACUUUUAUGAAUAAAUUAAAGAUAAUUUUUAUUUUUUUUAAUUGCAUCUGCUGUGUAAUUAAAACUUUUUUGCAAUGCAUUACAAUUUAUCCCAAUGCAAUGCAAUUGAGGUGUUCCAUAUUGAUAAAGAACAUCUAACAAGCUUUUUAAUAAUCAUUAUGUUAUUGAAUUGCAUUGAACUGAAUGGUCCUAUUGAUUUUUUCCAGUUGAACGUAUUCAUUCUGAAAAUAAAAUGACGUUUGUUUCAUCCGAUGAAAAUGUCUGCGGAAACAAAAAAUAAUUUAACUUGCAGAACUGAAUACUUUCACAUGUAUAUAUUAAUGGCAUCAGUGCUCAAGGGGGUGAAGCACCAAUGUGAGAAUUGCAAGCCCAAAGAAAGCAAAACAACUGUUGGCCCAGUGGAAGAUUAGGACUGGAACUGGAAUAGGCUCUGGCUGGGUCUGAAGAAGGGUCUCGACCCGAAACAUCACCCAUUCCUUCUAUCCAGAGAUGCUGCCUGCUCUUCUGAGUUGCUCUAGUAUUUUGUGUCUAUCCUAGCUGGAUAUUUUCAGGGGAAUGAUGAAGGGACAUUCUCAGCUCAAUUAUUGAGAUUCCUCCGUAUGUGACCCUGUGCUAGAGACCACCCACAGAUAGGAAACAGACUAACCUUUCAUCUGAAUGUUCCUUGAACCUUGAAGGAUCUGAAGCCUCUCCGGACCAUAGUCCUGCAAUCAGAAAUUCAUCUUCUGUUGAAUGUCUUAUUUGACCCUUCAAGUAGUACAGGGAUUAGGCAUGGCAUUUCAGCUUAUGGUCUUUAUGAUAAUAGAGAUGAUGGAAUAUGAGGGCAAGACCGGUCUAUAAAAUUAUGGGAAUAGGAUGUCCUGUAAACUUAGCAUCCUGAAGAGAAAAACUUAUUUGGACAGAUUCAAUACUAAUUUACAAAAGGCAGUUUGUUCUAUGACCAGUAGCCUCCUUGUGAUCUGGUAUUUUAUUUACUUCUUCACAUGUUUAAAUUAUAAUGUUUUAUUUUUAAUUGUCUACUGUAUAUCGUGUUGUUACUUGCGAGCAAAGCACCAAGGCAAAUUUCUUGUAUGUA
Long non-coding RNA from Leucoraja erinaceus (little skate), 2363 nucleotides. RefSeq lists it as uncharacterized. The record is from RefSeq and is a predicted model, not a curated record. Lineage: Eukaryota; Metazoa; Chordata; Chondrichthyes; Rajiformes; Rajidae. The transcript is spliced from 4 exons.